This 647-nucleotide long non-coding RNA is filed under the name Oncorhynchus kisutch (coho salmon). Its description in RNAcentral is "lncRNA (ENSOKIG00005025601.1)". The record is from RNAcentral. Lineage: Eukaryota; Metazoa; Chordata; Actinopteri; Salmoniformes; Salmonidae.
UGUGUGCCAGAGUGCAUGUUUAUUUAGGGUGGGUGGUUGAGGAAGUGAUUGUGUAUAUAUAGUAAGUACAUGAGGUAGUGUUGUUAGAACCAGCAUUUGUUGACCAUCUCACAGCAGUCAGACAGAAGCCCAGUAUGAAGUUAACAAUUUCUCUCACAGAUAACACGCAGGUGCCAUCUCCCAGAAUUAUCCAGCCCAUAAUGUCCAGAAUAGGAGCUGUUCUAGGAAAGGGGUUGGUUAUUGAAUGUAAGGCAGACCCAGGCCUUCCUGAUGAAUUUGCCCUUGUCUACUGGCUGGUAAACGGCACAUUCCCAAAUGUAGCCUCCACUGAUGGCAGAGUAUCAGAAACAGAAGAGUCAGUUUCAGAGGACGGCAGGGUGAUCCAGAGGAGUCUGGUGUUUAAGAGCGUGACUGCAGAGGACUUCAGGUCCACCUUUACCUGUGUGAUAAACAGCCCAGCUGGGCUUGACCAAAGGACUUUCACACUGGCCAAUCACAAGGCUCUAUUUCCCCCUCCUUCACCCACUCCCAAAACCGAGGAGAGAACAAUGAGAAAAGACACAGGAAAAGGGAUCACAGGAAAAGGGAUCACAGGAAAAAGGAUCACAGGAAAAAGGAUCACAGCAAAACACACUAGCAAGAAAUGA